AUAAUGCAAACCUAUCAAAAAUAAGUAACACAUAUUUACUAUAUAUUUUAAAAUUAACGAUACGAAAUGCAUUAAACUGUCUAUUUAAAGCAUUUCGUUUGCAUAUUUCGAGUAAAAUAAUGCAAAGUUGAUUUGUGUUUAGCGCAUAAUUUUAAAUGUUUCAAGAAAUGCACACGCCUAUUACCUAGUACUAUUAUAAUUAUACGCAAUGUCCGUUGCAUAUUAUUUUAUUACAAGGUUAUACAACUAACUUUUCAACUACAAUUCGGAUAAUUCAAUUGCUUAAAUUCAAAUACUAUACGAUAUUUAUUCCUAUUAUUUCUCGCGCGUAUAAUAAUGUCUUAAAUUAUUACGAUCAGUGGCGAAUAAAUAAUUUUCAAAUUUAGCGAUAAAGCCAAUAAAUUACUGUAUACCGUAUAUAGGUAAUGUGAGUGGUUCAAAUAAAUACGUACUCAAAAUUAUUUAAAAAACAUGUAUAUAUUUUGCAACGAUAAAAACAAACGGUCGUAAUAUUUAAAUUUAAUUAUUUUGAAUAGUUCGAAAUUAGUCGAAUACUAUAUUUUAUUACUGUUAUUAUUAUAGGAGAUUGGUACCUAAAAUAUGUAAUCAAAUUUGUUGUACCCAAAUAAAAAUCGUGACGGAUUCAAUAAGCUUGGGAGAAGCGUUUAACAACCGUAAACACCUGUCCAGCACAAAAAACACCGGCUUAAUAAAAAUUCAUUUUUAACUUUAAAAAUAAUGAAUGAGGCCUGGGAUAGUUUUAUGCUCAGUAUACAUACCAAAUAAAAAUUACGUAAAAAAUAUAAAUGUCUAUAAAUAGCUCAAAAAUGAUUGAAUUAUCUAAAUUUCAGAUUUCCACGAAUAUUUUUAACUAAAUCGCAACAAAAAAACCAAGAUUCAAAAUAAUAAAUUUCGUACAUUUUCCGAUUUUUCUAUGUAUUUUUCCAGGUUUUCCUAAUUAUCAUGAAAACCACUCGGAAAAUUACGGAAAAAGAACGGCUUUAACAACAAAAACGGUCUCGUGUCAUUUUUCUAUUGGAGCAAUAUUUCUGGUUGAAAACAUAGUUUUUGCAAAAAUUAUUAACAAUGAAAUCGGUAACGCCACGGCUCGGCGCGCCUUAAUUCUUUUGACCGUUUUACCGAAAUUUUUCUUUCCAGUUUUUCUCAAUCCUUUUGAAAACCCCUUGGAAGCUGACCACAAACUGACCUCCUCACUAAUGCACCAACGUGAUAAAAUUUCCAAGAUAAAAUCUCGCUACGCUUCGAAUCCAAAAGACAAAAAAAACCCAUUACAACAAAACCGAAUACAUGUUUUCCUCGCUUUGCUCAGAAUUUAAGAUUUCGGUGAACACGUUUUCGCUUGUCGUCGUUAAAAAACACAACGCGUAAACACUGAAAAAUGUAAUAAACUAAAUAAAACAAGACGUAUUAUAUUAUAUCGUAGUAUAAUAUGGCUGAUGCAAUAAUCGAAUGUGUCCAAUUAAUAAUUUCGUAGAUACAUGUAUGAAUAAAUAUUUAAGUUCCAGUAACGCGUUACCACACACGGUACGAUAUUGCACAAUUUUUUUUUUUUUUUUUUUUUUUUAAAUCUCGUUUCUAAAUAAUGUAUAUACUGUACGUGCGUUUGCAGUCGGCUAUUUAAACUAAACUUUCAUAUCCUUGAUACCUAUAUAUGUACAUAUACGUAAAUAUACAACAUAAUUAUUGUGUGCGCGCCAUGCGAUUUGUAUAUUUGAUUCGUACAUUAGCUGGUGCAUUAAAACCGCCACCCGUUUAAAAGAGUGUUUAAUCGUUGUUAUUGCAUUAUGAUAGGCGAGGUUAGGUUACACGUUAGGCUGCGUUAAUAAACCGUCUGCCGCGACGAAAAAGGCCGUAUCAUCUCGAUUCGGGUGGUGUUUUUUUCGUCGACACCGAUUCGUCUGCGGUUCGAACAGUUUGUUCGGUUUUAGAGUCGCCUUGGAAUUUCUUUUUUUUUUUUUUUAAUUUGGAUACCUAAACUACGUACGUUAGCCAAUAAUCAGUUCUUCUAGUCCGAGGUCGCGAAAUACCUUUAUUAUAGAACCCUAUAAUGUAAAUCCCGCCUUCCCAACAACAGUGACAGACACUAACAGUCAGUGAUGUAUUUAAGGGCGUUGUCCCGGGGGGCUGACCUCUCAAUUUUUUUUUCUAGUUCUAUCCAUUACUGAAGUAUCGCAAAAUAUUGUUGACGAAUGACGAAAUGUUUCAAAACUAAUUUGAAAAUGCCCAUCAUGGAUUAAUAAUAAUAAUAGGAGACCACCAAAACGAUAAUAAUAUUAGGUUUAUGUGUAUUACAUGAAUAAAUUGUGAAUAUACGAAUACACAAAAUUAAUUAAACUGAUAUGGGAAAUUACUACGUAAAUUUAAGUGUUAAAUUAGUGUUAAUUUAUUCAGUCAAAUCGUUUAUAUUUUAUUCCUGUCAUAAUUUUAUUGUAAUCAAAAAUUUGAGUAGCAAUCCUAAGAUUUUUACAAUAAAAAAACCACUUAUAAGGUUUUAAGAUGUUUUAUAAUCAGGUACGAAUUCGUGAUGAAGCUAUGUAAUAUUUGUGGAGCAAUAGUAUUUCCAAGAGUCAGGACACCCCUCGCUCCCCCC
Molecule: long non-coding RNA, 2611 nt
Filed under: Cinara cedri
Lineage: Eukaryota; Metazoa; Arthropoda; Insecta; Hemiptera; Aphididae
Source: RNAcentral